GACGAACGCUGGCGGCGUGCUUAACACAUGCAAGUCGAGCGGUAAGGCCCUUUCGGAGGUACACGAGCGGCGAACGGGUGAGUAACACGUGGGUGACCUGCCCUCAGCUCUGGGAUAAGCCCGGGAAACUGGGUCUAAUACCGGAUAUGACUCCAUGACGCAUGUUGUGGGGUGGAAAGCCUUGUGCGGCUGAGGAUGGGCCCGCGGCCUAUCAGCUUGUUGGUGGGGUGANGGCCUACCAAGGCGACGACGGGUAGCCGGCCUGAGAGGGCGACCGGCCACACUGGGACUGAGAUACGGCCCAGGACUCCUACGGGAGGCGAGCAGUGGGGAAUCUUGCGCAAUGGGCGAAAGCCUGACGCAGCGACGCCGCGUGA
RNAcentral lists this ribosomal RNA (377 nucleotides) under uncultured bacterium. Its description in RNAcentral is "bacterial SSU rRNA". It matches the Rfam family "Bacterial small subunit ribosomal RNA", at positions 28 to 404 of the family's 1533-position model. The record is from RNAcentral.